This 253-nucleotide ribosomal RNA is filed under the name uncultured bacterium. Its description in RNAcentral is "partial 16S ribosomal RNA". It matches the Rfam family "Bacterial small subunit ribosomal RNA", at positions 524 to 776 of the family's 1533-position model. The record is from RNAcentral.
UACGUAGGGUGCAAGCGUUAAUCGGAAUUACUGGGCGUAAAGCGUGCGCAGGCGGUGAUGUAAGACAGAUGUGAAAUCCCCGGGCUCAACCUGGGAACUGCAUUUGUGACUGCAUCGCUGGAGUACGGCAGAGGGGGGUGGAAUUCCGCGUGUAGCAGUGAAAUGCGUAGAUAUCUGGAGGAAUACCGGUGGCGAAGGCGGCAUCCUGGACCGACAUUGACGCUGAACGGCGAAAGCUAGGGGAGCAAACGGG